This is a long non-coding RNA of Nomascus leucogenys (northern white-cheeked gibbon), 337 nucleotides long. RefSeq lists it as uncharacterized. The transcript has 4 exons. NCBI's taxonomy places the organism in Eukaryota, Metazoa, Chordata, Mammalia, Primates, Hylobatidae. The record is from RefSeq and is a predicted model, not a curated record.
GACGUGCGUGUGUGUGGAGAGUGGCUGUGAAAGUGACACAGGCUCUGGGAAGAGAAGUAAGGAGGACUGCUGGGAAGGUUUCCAGGCUCUCGGAUGAGCAGGGGCUGUGAUAUGAAAGUGAUCAAGAGAUGGGACCAUCUAGUUGCAAGAGAACAAGCUCAGGGCUCCCACUGAUUCUACAUGAUGUAUUUGUCUUCACUUUCAAAGAGUGUAAAGUGAAAGAAAGGAGGAAGUCCACACCCUUGGGUUUGGGGGCAUUGGAUCCAGUGUGCAAUGUGAGAAGUAAAAUGAAGAGGAGAAAUGAUCUGGAGAGACUUUCUGAUGAAGCAAACACCAG